RNAcentral lists this non-coding RNA (30 nucleotides) under Rattus norvegicus (Norway rat). Lineage: Eukaryota; Metazoa; Chordata; Mammalia; Rodentia; Muridae. The record is from RNAcentral.
UUAGAAGUUAAUAUUAACCACCAUAGGAUG